AUUUUAAAUGAAAAAAACAACUAACAAUAGGAAUAGAUGCAAACAGAUGAAUGAUUUAUAAGAUUUUUCAAAAAAAUAAUGCCUCUGUAUGCUUCUUGUGAACCAUUUGUACUGGGUAACAAUUAUUAUCUAAUUCAAUUGAAUAUCUUUUGCCCCUGCUUGAAUUCAUCAUCUUCCAAUUUUAUGCUGAAAGGGGUUGUGAUACAAUCAGGACCAGUUUUCUCAAUAACAUCAACACCAAUAAUGGACAAUCUCAAAGGAAGAAAAUCAAAUGAUGAAAAGCCAUUUUAUUCCUUUGAAGUUCUGUAUGCAAUUAAAGAAAAGAACUUGAUUUGGGAUGACGAUACACCAUGAUUCUCGUCAGCUUGCAAAAUUGGGUAACAAUCGUUGCUCAUCUUCAGCACAGUUGAACUCAGUGUUGGAUCGUAGGUAGCCGGAUUAAACUGAAAUCCGCCCACAAAGACGCCAGUAGGCUCCAGGAUGAAAAAGGGAUUUCUCGAACACCCAGAUAUCACGGACAAGGACCUACAAGCGUAAGCUUCUAAAUGACAAGUAUCAAACCAACAAUUCCAUUCAAUUCAUUUUGAUCCAUAUAUCAUUUCCUUGGGAACAGAAGUGCAUGUCUACAAAUUCAAAGUCCAACUUCCAAAUUGGGGCAACUAUUCUACACCCACCAUUGAUAGCAAUACCUUAAUUACCAGAAGAAAAAGAAAAAUGAAAUUGUCCAGAAAUUGUGCCACUAAACCCCUGUACAAUAAGUGCCUCAUUAGUCCAUACAAAUGCAAGCUCAAUCCCUACCUAGGCAACUCCAGAAAAUGCUGAUCUUCUAUGGACAACGACUAAAACGAUUUGACAUUCUUAACUUUCAAGUUAUAGUAAUCCCUCAAUUUAUCACCCAUUACCAAACCCCUUUCCUCCAUUUCCUCCAAAACUAACUUAGCUUGCUCAAGCCUCUCCAACUUAAUCAACUUACUAGCCAAUAUCCCAAAAGUCUCUGCAUCUAAUAUUGUAUCUCUCCCUGCAUAAAUCAUCACAAACUUAAUUGCCUGUGCAUAGAAUCCUAACUUCAAGAAUGCAUUGAUUACAUGCACAUAUGUAGAAUACAAUACAUGUGGUCCAUCAUGCUCCAUCCUCCUCAGCACCACAAGGGCCCCCUCAACUUUCCCUACUCUACAUGCACCCAACACCAGUGCAUCAUAUGUUCGUGCAUCAGCACCCAGCCUCUCCUCUUCAAUCCUCUUCAUCACCUUAGUUGCAGCCAUUAAAUUGCCAUUAUAACAAUAUGCCGUCAACAAAUAAUUGAAAGCUGUCAGGUCAGGCAAAACACCCACUGCCCUCAUCAUUUCCAUUACUUUCCAGGCAACCUCCAUCUUCUUCUUCCUUGUGAGAGAGCUCAGUAUAGGGUGAAAGCUACACGCGCUUAACCCAUACUGCCUAUGUGCCAUGAUAUCCACAAUGUGCAAUGAUUCCUCAAUUCGGUCUAGUUUGCAAAGACGAGCAAUAAGUGUAUUAUAUGCACUUGUACGAGGGAAGCCACUGUCAAGGCGGGCUAGUGUUUCAGUGAGAUCAUCUAGGAUUGAGAGGGAGUUAUCAGUGUUGGUGAUGAAUUUGAAGGUGUUGACAGUGUUGAAGCAGCCAUCUCUCACACGCUUGUUGAGGAGGUAGCUAAGCGUAUUGAAGUCUCGUUCCUGGCCAGCAGCAUUGACAAGAUCAUCAUAAUAGGCAGCACUAGGCUUGUCAGGAAAUGAGUUAAGGCUAAGACUUUGGGAUGCAAAGAAGCGAGUGGUGAGGGAUAGUAUAGAUUGGCGAUUUGGGGAUAUGGGAUGCUGCUUGCGGAGAAAUGGCAGUGCAUUUGUCUUAGGGUUCAAGAGAGAUUGGCGAGCAAGCUCCUUUGUUUUAUCUCCAGCAACAGUAAUGCCUUUUGAAUCAUAAGCUUCAAACUUCUGCUUUGUUAGAAGCUCAAGGGUUAGCUGUAUGAAAACUUUAUUGAGGUCUUUUCGAUCAACACCUAUCUGAAAUCGUGUACGAAAAGAAAAGCAAGGUAUGUGAUUUGAAGUGAACAAAAAGAAGUUACCUUUCGUAAUUCAAGAAUAUUCAUGUGUGCAUAACUUUACCGUUUUCUACAUAAAGUAAAAUUCGAAAAUAUGCAGUAGUUUUUACAUAACGUAAAAUUGUAAAGCAUGCAGUAGUUAUUUCUUCAAAAAUUCAACUAUGUAGUAUUUACAAAUCAUUGAUCAAAACUGUCGGGACAAAAAAAAAUACUCGCCAGUCGAGCUCGCAAUGUUCGUAUCUUAACCACUGGUUCAAUCAUUUCCCAACAAACUUUAUUCCACAUGGACUCUCUUUGCUUAAUUUCAUUCUUGAGUUCAGAGUACAUUUUUUCUGUAACCAUUUUCCUCAAUGAAUUUUUGUCACCAUUUGCGAUUAGAGUGCUUAUCUGGAAGAAUAGAAGGGGAUAAGGAGGGUAGAAGGCAAACAAACAUGUCAUUGAACCCAGAUGAACAAUAAUAAAGUCUGUAUACACUUAAAUCUUGAACAAUAAACAUAGAGACACCUCCUUGUACAAGUCAAUGGCCUCUUUGUAGAACUCAUGUUUCGAGUAUCCAGAUUUUCUUAACUUGGAAAUGGCAUAAGCACUUUUCAUCUCUAGAAUGAUAUCUUCUUUUGUUCGUCUCCAACCACUUUUUGUGAACCACCUGAUACAAAGAAAAUAAGAAGUCUGUUGAUGGCUGAAAACAUGUACUACAAGUGAUUACAAGUAUAAUAGUGUUUCCAAGCGUAUUUGCAACUGUAGGGCAAAGUAAAACUUUGGCUCAAUUCUAAAGAAGCAGCAAAAAGGCUACCACAUAUAAAUACAAGUCAAUAUGGAAAAACUCCUGUAGAAAGCUUGCAACCAUAAAAAGGAAGUUCAUUGUCUUACACAACAUAAAAUGUAAAGAACCUGUAUUUGGCUAGCAGAAUUCACAAAUGAGCUGAAAUCUCUCAAUGCUCUGAUCAUCCUAAUAAACCUUACUGAGGGUGCUCUACAUAGUCUAAAAACUGCAAAGGCACACUUCGCCAAAAUGGGAUUGGUUCACGAGGUGCAUAAGGUUCAUAGAUGAAUCCAGGACUCGAAAUGGACACUUUAAGAGCCCCCAUCUGCCGUGCUUGUGCGGGAGCUCUUGCCUGUGUUGUCGCCAACCUCUUGUUGCUUAAGAAAAUUGAUAAUUCCAUGGCCAUUGAAGAAUGAAGGGUUGUCCUUCCAUGAGUCCAAGGAAGAGAAUUGUGGCCCCAAUGGGGACAAAAUGAAAUUCUCCAGGAGUUCAGUUCACAACCAUUUGAAAAAUGACUACUAUAGCUUCUUAAGCUCCCAAGC
RNAcentral lists this unclassified non-coding RNA (3355 nucleotides) under Hevea brasiliensis (rubber tree). Lineage: Eukaryota; Viridiplantae; Streptophyta; Magnoliopsida; Malpighiales; Euphorbiaceae. The record is from RNAcentral.